GAUAGUGUUUUAAGGAAGAAAAACAAAGUCAAAAUCUUGUCUAUUGUACUGUCUAGCCUAGUUUCAAAUUUAGUAUUAUGAAUUGAACAUGCUAUUAGGUUAAUCUCAAGUGCACCGUAUUUUUAUUUAUUUUUCACUCCUACGAACCUUUGGGUUGGGAUUUGAUUCUUGCUCUAUAAUCUUUCAGUUAGGUGAAUUUGUUCUUUGCCGUGCCCUCUCCAAUGGUGCCAUCCUAUUGUUCAAAUUUAAUGCUAUUACAUUUCAUUUUGGCUUUCUUAGUUAUGGUUUUGGUAGCUGGUAUGUCACAGUUUGUCUAUUCUUACUUCUCGAAAGAAAAAAUAUAUAAA
RNAcentral lists this long non-coding RNA (347 nucleotides) under Olea europaea (common olive). Its description in RNAcentral is "long non-coding RNA (OEUR_LNC011077)". Lineage: Eukaryota; Viridiplantae; Streptophyta; Magnoliopsida; Lamiales; Oleaceae. The record is from RNAcentral.